Long non-coding RNA from Parus major (Great Tit), 2098 nucleotides. RefSeq lists it as uncharacterized. The record is from RefSeq and is a predicted model, not a curated record. The transcript has 3 exons. Lineage: Eukaryota; Metazoa; Chordata; Aves; Passeriformes; Paridae.
GCUGCAGAACUGCUCUCUGCUGGGAGCUGGGGUGGGCACAGAGGUGCCACAAAACCCAGAGCUUUGUGACAUGGGGUGGCAGGUCAUGAAUUUCAGAGCAUGAGGAUCUGUUGGCCUGGGACUCUUUCUUCCCCUCAUCAUCAUUAAAGCCAUGAGCUUUCAGAGUCUUCUCCACGCUUCCUUCCCCAGCAAAACAUCAGAGUGGUCUCCUUAUGGCUUAUUUCCACCACAGGGGAUAAGGAGGGGUUGUCUCCCUCUCUGGAACUGCUAAACUGGGGACUAGAAAUGCAUUUGCAGACAGAUGCAGCUGACUGCAGGUUGCAAUGACAGAGGAAAGAAAAAUAUUGAAACUGGAAGACUGAGGACUAGUCAUUGUUGAGAAGUGGAAAUCCAGGACACGUGAGACCCCUUAAAACUUGAUGCAGGGUUGCUCAAAAUCAGAAGAAUGGGAAUUCUCUAAUUUUAUCUCUGAGCAGUAUCUUGGAUGCCAGCACCCCAGACUGUCAGGUAUGUGGGCCCAACAUUAACUCCUGCUGAUGUUCAGCCCUGACAAUGAUCCCAACACAGCAGUGUUUGUGGCUGACACUGCAGACAGGUGCCAGCAGGACUCCUGUCAUGCCCCAUCAGGGCUAAGAGAGGUCCACAGGACACUGGCCAUCCACCUUCCAUGUUCUCCACAGACAAAGAAACACACAAAGACACUUGCCACGUUCUUUUGUCUUUUUUUUUUUUUUAAUUAUUCCUUCAUAUUCAAACUUCACAAACAGUGUGAACUUGUACAAUACCUCAGAAAGUGAAACUUACAAAAAAAGUGCUGGUAACAUUAAAAAAAAAAAACCAAAAAAAAAAAACAAACAUCAUUCUUAGCAACAUCAAUUACUCUUCCACACAAAACAGAAACCUUGUAAAAUUUAUUUCCGUAUUUUUUUAAGGCGUAAUACUUCCGUAUAAAGUAUAUGCAAGAGAUAAAACUUCACAGUAUUCCAAAAUGUCACAAUAAUAAUAAUAAUAAUAUAGUAUAAUGAAGCGCUACAGUUAAUUUUCUUUUUUUAUUUUUUUUUUUUCCUGUUUUAAAUAACAAAUACAAGUCACAGGUAAAUAUACGUGAGAAAAAUACGAGGCUAAUAUUAAAUGGCAGGUAAGGAUACUCUCACUGUAAGAAAAAACUGGCAGGAUGUGUGUAUUUAUUCUAUAUUUUAAAGCACUUGAUAGAAAAGGCGUAUGCAAGGUAUUUUUUUUUUUUUAAGAAUUUUCUAUUUGCUUGUUUUUGAUAACUGACAUACCAUUUACAGAGUAUAAUGAGAGAAAAAAAAGGAACUUAACCCCUCAAAACUUUCGACCUGCUCUUCACAUCAUCACAAACCGUGUUUCUGGAGAGAUGCCUGUACAGCUGUGGGGUGUGUGUGUGCGCACAGCGGUGCGUGCAGGGCUGUGCGGGUGGGCGGCUGUCUCAUCACACGGGCAGAGAUCCAUGUCCUGCGCGGGGACCUCUGCCAGCUGAGGCCAAAUCCUCCAGCCUCCACCUUGGCAGGACAAUGCCCGCGGUCAUCGCCACCGGUUGCCUGCACAAAGACUUUAGGAUUUAGGCCUGGGUGCGGUUUCCCAUUCACUCGGCAUCUAUUGACUGCUGGGAAUUCCUUUGGCCCCAAGAAGAAAAUGUCCAAUUUUUACUUUUUACAUCUGCACGCAAGAGCGUGCGCUCUCCCCUCCACCGUUUAGCUCCCAUCCACGCCACAGAGCAAAGACCAACUGGGAAACUCCCGUCUGGGUCCCAGCCAGCACCACGAGGAAUGGGAAUGUGGAUGGAUGUGCCCGUGCAGCGUUCUCCGCAUGGCCCUGCCCGUGCUCACAGCAGCCACUCGGCCCAAGGGGAACAAAAAGACAGCAGAUAGCAUUAACACAUCAGUAAGGUGCUCAAAGAAAAAAAGGCAGCUCCCACUCCUGGAAUGGGAAGCCACAUAAGGUGCUUCAAAAAGUUUUUUUUAUUUUUUUUUUUUUUUUUUUUUUUUUUUUUUUUUUCAGUUUCAGACAUUUUAAAAAAAGGACUGAUUGAGUAUGUGGUACGUGAGAGCAAGGCCGAGAGUUUUGAGAUUUCUGA